UACGAAGGGGGCUAGCGUUGCUCGGAAUCACUGGGCCUAAAGGGUGCGUAGGCGGGUUCUUAAGUCAGAGGUGAAAUCCUGGAGCUCAACUCCAGAACUGCCUUUGAUACUGAGAGUCUUGAGUUCGGGAGAGGUGAGUGGAACUGCGAGUGUAGAGGUGAAAUUCGUAGAUAUUCGCAAGAACACCAGUGGCGAAGGCGGCUCACUGGCCCGAUACUGACGCUGAUGCACGAAAGCGUGGGGAGCAAACAGG
This 253-nucleotide ribosomal RNA is filed under the name uncultured bacterium. Its description in RNAcentral is "partial 16S ribosomal RNA". It matches the Rfam family "Bacterial small subunit ribosomal RNA", at positions 524 to 776 of the family's 1533-position model. The record is from RNAcentral.